Molecule: long non-coding RNA, 184 nt
Organism: Salvia splendens (bonfire salvia)
Lineage: Eukaryota; Viridiplantae; Streptophyta; Magnoliopsida; Lamiales; Lamiaceae
Exons: 3
Source: RefSeq, a predicted model, not a curated record
UUCUCUUCAACAGGUCCGAAAAGAAAAACUUGGGGACAGAAUCACCGCCCUACAGCAGUUGGUUUCACCUUUCGGAAAGACUGACACUGCAUCCGUGCUCCACGAAGCUAUCGAGUACAUCAAGUUUCUCCAUGAUCAAGUCAAUUCAUUAAGCACGCCAUACUUGAAAUAUGGAUCUCCAUCG